This 443-nucleotide ribosomal RNA is filed under the name uncultured bacterium. Its description in RNAcentral is "partial 16S ribosomal RNA". It matches the Rfam family "Bacterial small subunit ribosomal RNA", at positions 338 to 795 of the family's 1533-position model. The record is from RNAcentral.
CCUACGGGAGGCAGCAGUGGGGAAUAUUGCACAAUGGGCGAAAGCCUGAUGCAGCAACGCCGCGUGAAGGAAGAAGGCUUUCUGCUCGUAAACUUCUAUCAACAGGGACGAAAGAAAUGACGGUACCUGAAUCAUAAGCCCCGGCUAACUACGUGCAAGCAGCCGCGGUAAGACGUAGGGGGCAAGCGUUAUCCGGAAUUACUGGGUGUAAGGGGAGAGUAGGCGGCAUGGUAAGCCAGAUGUGAAAGCCUUGGGCUUAACCCGAUGAUUGCAUUUGGAACUAUCAGGCUAGAGUACAGGAGAGGAAAGCGGAAUUCCUAGUGUAGCGGUGAAAUGCGUAGAUAUUAGGAAGAACACCAGUGGCGAAGGCGGCUUUCUGGACUGAAACUGACGCUGAGGCACGAAAGCGUGGGGAGCGAACAGGAUUAGAUACCCCUGUAGUC